Long non-coding RNA from Oncorhynchus tshawytscha (Chinook salmon), 666 nucleotides. The record is from Ensembl. NCBI's taxonomy places the organism in Eukaryota, Metazoa, Chordata, Actinopteri, Salmoniformes, Salmonidae.
GGGAACCAAUUCAGGCCACCAUAGACCUACAUAUACCUAGACAUACUAAAACCCCCAUAGAUAUACAAAAACCCUAGACAGGGGAAACGCCUAGACAAUACAAAAACUAAACCAACCACCCUCGUCACACCCUGACCUAACCAAAAUAAUAAAGAAAACAAAAGAUAACUAAGGUCAGGGCGUGACAGUGUGAAUACAUUCUGAAGGCGCUGUAGAUUCCCUUGGAAUGUUUGGCUCUUCUAUUGAAUUUAGGGGCGGCAGGGUAGCCUAGUGGUUAGAGUGUAGAGGCGGCAGGUAGCCUAGUGGUUAGAGUGUAGAGGCGGCAGGUAGCCUAGUGGUUAGAGUGUAGAGGCGGCAGGGCAGCCUAGUGGUUAGAGUGUAGAGGAGGCAGGUAGCCUAGUGGUUAGAGUGUAGAGGAGGCAGGUAGCCUAUUCAAAUCCCCGAGCUGACAAGGUACAAAUCUUGUCAGACAAAUCUGUCGUUCUGCCCCUGAACAGGCAGUUAACCCACUGUUCCUAGGCCGUCAUUGAAAAUAAGAAUUUGUUCUUAACUGACUUGCCAAGUUAAAUAAAGGUAAAAAAAAAUAAAACAAUUUAGAUUAGUUUCUGUCUGAUUGUAAGACGACUGAGUACUCCACAAUUUCAUACUCUUUUUUUUUUCCAACAG